RNAcentral lists this ribosomal RNA (755 nucleotides) under uncultured bacterium. RNAcentral describes it as "bacterial SSU rRNA". It matches the Rfam family "Bacterial small subunit ribosomal RNA", at positions 8 to 806 of the family's 1533-position model. The record is from RNAcentral.
AGAGUUUGAUCCUGGCUCAGAACGAACGCUGGCGGCGUGGAUAAGACAUGCAAGUCGUACGAGUGGCUUCGGCCACUGAGUGGCGCACGGGUGAGUAACGCGUGAGUCAUCUGCCCCUGAACAGGGAUAGCCCCGGGAAACUGGGAUUAAUACCUGAUGGUCUCGCAAGAGUAAAGCAGCAUGCGCUCAGGGAAGAGCUCGCGUCCUAUUAGUUAGUUGGCGGGGUAACGGCCCACCAAGCGAUGACGGGUAGCCGGUCUGAGAGGAUGUCCGGCCACACUGGAACUGAGACACGGUCCAACACCUACGGGUGGCAGCAGUCGAGAAUCAUUCACAAUGGGCGAAAGCCUGAUGGUGCGAGCCGCGUGGGGGAAGAAGGUCUUCGGAUUGUAAACCCCUGUCAUGUAGGAGCAAGACGCAGUUUGAUAGUACUACAAGAGGAAGAGACGGCAAACUCUGUGCCAGCAGCCGCGGUAAUACGAGGUCUCAAGCGUUGUUCGGAAUCACUGGGCGUAAAGGGUACGUAGGCUGCCGGAUAAGCGUGCGUGAAAGGCAGGGGCUCAACCUCUGGAGUGCGCAUGAUACUGUUUGGCUGGAGUGUGGAGGGGGAACCGGAAUUCUUGGUGUAGCAGUGAAAUGCGUAGAUAUCAAGAAGAAGACCGUGGCGAAGGCGGGUUCCUGGGACAUUCACUGACGCUGAGGUACGAAGCUAGGGUAGCGAAGGGAUUAGAUACCCCUGUAGUCCUAGCAGUAAA